UUGCUUCAGCAGCAUGUAUACUGACAUUGGAAAGACAGAGAGAAGAUUAGCAUGCCCCUGUACAAGGAUGGUGCACAGAUCUGUGAAGUGUACAAUAAAAGA
Small nuclear RNA from Rhincodon typus (whale shark), 102 nucleotides. The record is from RefSeq and is a predicted model, not a curated record. Lineage: Eukaryota; Metazoa; Chordata; Chondrichthyes; Orectolobiformes; Rhincodontidae.